GAGGCGCUACUGCGCCUUCUUCACGAUGCUGUCUGUGUGAGUGGACCAAUUCAGUUUGUCUGUGAUGUGUAUGCCGAGGAACUUAAAACUUACUACCCUCUCCACUACUGUUCCAUCGAUGUGGAUAGGGGGGUGUUCCCUCUGCUGUUUCCUGAAGUCCACAAUCAUCUCCUUAGUUUUGUUGACAUUGAGUGUGAGGUUAUUUUCCUGACACCACACUCCGAGGGCCCUCACCUCCUCCCUGUAGGCCGUCUCGUCGUUGUUGGUAAUCAAGCCUACCACUGUUGUGUCGUCCGCAAACUUGAUGAUUGAGUUGGAGGCGUGCGUGGCCACGCAGUCGUGGGUGAACAGGGAGUACAGGAGAGGGCUCAGAACGCACCCUUGUGGGGCCCCAGUGUUGAGGAUCAGCGGGGUGGAAAUGUUGUUGCCUACCCUCACCACCUGGGGGCGGCCCGUCAGGAAGUCCAGUACCCAGUUGCAGAGGGCGGGGUCGAGACCCAGGGUCUCGAGCUUGAUGACGAGCUUGGAGGGCACUAUGGUGUUAAAUGCCGAGCUGUAGUCGAUGAACAGCAUUCUCACAUAGGUAUUCCUCUUGUCCAGAUGGGUUAGGGCAGUGUGCAGUGUGGUUGAGAUUGCAUCGUCUGUGGACCUAUUUGGGCGGAAAGCAAAUUGGAGUGGGUCUAGGGUGUCAGGUAGGGUGGAGGUGAUAUGGUCUUUGACUAGUCUCUCAAAGCACUUCUUGAUGACGGAAGUGAGUGCUACGGGCCUAUGAAUUAAAGCAAAUUGGAGUGGGUCUAGGGUGUCAGGUAGGGUGGAGGUGAUAUGGUCCUUGACUAGUCUCUCAAAGCACUUCAUGAUGACGGAAGUGAGUGCUACGGGCCUAUGAAUUAAAGCUUACAACGUAGGUGCACAGGUCGAGAUAAAAAAAGAAUUGUAAUCAAGGUGACAGACACAUUCAAUACAGCCUUCCACACUCUUGGCUGCAUCUAGCUGAUCUAGAGUGUAAUCAUUUGUCUAACAGUUGCAAACAAGAGUUUCUAUUGUAUAGAUUCAGGUAUGUUUAUCCCCACUUCGUUCCAUUUGUUUCCGUUUAAGAAAAGUUUUUCAACAGAAUCGGUGGAAUGAAUACACCCUGAUCACACGCAAACACAGUUCCAUUUCAUAGUAGCCACAUACAAACAGCAUGAUCAACUUGCUCGUUGUAUAAAUAAUUCCUCCUCGCACCUCCUCUCACCUUUUCUCUUCGCUUGUGGACUUCAACUAGAUUAAACCGCAGGGCAAUUUUCUUCUUGAGCGGAUGGUCGGGGGCCCGGAACAUAAUUAUAAAUAAAUGUGUAGACUGCAAAUUGACAGCAAGAAGCCCAACCAGAUAUGUUUGACUAAAACAUAAUAAUUUCAAAUCUUGCUUACAUUUGUGU
This is a long non-coding RNA of Oncorhynchus tshawytscha (Chinook salmon), 1418 nucleotides long. Lineage: Eukaryota; Metazoa; Chordata; Actinopteri; Salmoniformes; Salmonidae. The record is from Ensembl.